AGCCGCUCGCCGCACACCCCGCCCAGCGCGCUGGGGAGCGAGCUCCGCGGAAGGUCCUUCCGCCCGGCCGACCUGGCAGCGUCGUGCCGCCCCGCCCACUCCGGCGCCGUCACGCCCACCGCGGCUGUGCCACGCCCAUGAUGCCCCGCCCUCCCUCGAGGGAGCGCGCUUUGAGGGAGACAGCUCCACCCAGUGCGUGUCGGGGGUGGGGCGAGGACGCCGCGUCCCGCCUGCUGCUGGGUCCUAGCGCGGGCACGCAGUCAACACCCUAACUGCGAGAACGUGUGUUGGAGAGAAGCGUAAUGCUUUUUUUGCCUUGCGGCGUCAGUGACCUCGAGCAGCCUUCGGAGCGACUGACCCACAGCUCUAAAGGACAGCCAGCGCCACUGUUGAAACAGAAAACUGAGGCUCUGCCUGGGAAACUGUGGAUGAGUUGGAAAGCAACCCCGCCAAAGCGUCCCAAGCACUUGGUGUUUUUCUGGGAUGAAUCAUCUGGACCAAACUCCCUAAGAAGAAGACUAAUUAGAUAAAAAGACAAAAUUUGCUUAACUUUUUGAAUUAACAGUAGUGGGGGAAGAGAGGAAGGGGAACCAAUCCAGCUUGACAGUAGGAUAUCAGUUCGGAAUUUUUAAAAGGUGGGGGGGGGGGGGGGUGAUGUCCGAAGAAAGAAGCUGCAGCCAGCAUGUGAGGAGCACAUGCGCAGUGUUAGCUAGUGGACGGACCCUUCCUCUUUUCUGCCCGCAGAAAAUUCAUAAGAUCAAUUGCUCCAUUAGAAAGCCUGUGGUUUGUUUUGAUUGGUGAAGUGAGGGUAGGAACGUCUUCUUCCUCCCACGCCAAGCCACAUCACCUCCACUCGUCUGUGGGACUUAGGGCCUGAAUUCAGACAAAGCUCUAAAAUCUGAGAGUUAAACCCUGGGCCAGUGAGAUGUUCAGUAAGAAAAGUGCUUACUACCAAGCCUGAUGGCUGAAUUUGAUUACAGAAGCCGCAUGGUGGGAAGAGAGAACUGACUCCCACAAAUUGUCUUCUAACCUUCAUAUGCAUGUGUUUGUGUGUUUGUGCAUACAACAUACGAAAUAAAUAAUUGUUUAAAAUUAAA
Mesocricetus auratus (golden hamster) is the source of this 1097-nucleotide long non-coding RNA. RefSeq lists it as uncharacterized. The transcript is spliced from 2 exons. NCBI's taxonomy places the organism in Eukaryota, Metazoa, Chordata, Mammalia, Rodentia, Cricetidae. The record is from RefSeq and is a predicted model, not a curated record.